Molecule: ribosomal RNA, 489 nt
Filed under: uncultured bacterium
Lineage: Bacteria
Description: bacterial SSU rRNA
Rfam family: Bacterial small subunit ribosomal RNA
Source: RNAcentral
GAUGAACGCUAGCUACAGGCUUAACACAUGCAAGUCGAAGGGGAAACGACAUCGAAAGCUUGCUUUUGAUGGGCGUCGACCGGCGCACGGGUGAGUAACGCGUAUCCAACCUGCCCACACUUGGGAUAACCUUGCGAAAGUAAGACUAAUACCCGAUGAUAUCUCUAUAAGACAUCUGAAAGGGAUUAAAGAUUUAUCGGUGAUGGAUGGGGAUGCGUCUGAUUAGCUUGUUGCGGGUAACGGCCCACCAAGGCAACGAUCAGUAGGGGUUCUGAGAGGAAGGUCCCCCACAUUGGAACUGAGACACGGUCCAAACUCCUACGGGAGGCAGCAGUGAGGAAUAUUGGUCAAUGGGCGAGAGCCUGAACCAGCCAAGUAGCGUGCAGGAUGACGGCCCUAUGGGUUGUAAACUGCUUUUAUAAGGGAAUAAAGUGAGUCUCGUGAGACUUUUUGCAUGUACCUUAUGAAUAAGGACCGGCUAAUUCCGUG